UACAGAGGUCCCAAGCGUUGUUCGGAUUCACUGGGCGUAAAGGGUGCGUAGGUGGUCGGGUAAGUCUGAUGUGAAAUCUCUGGGCUCAACCCAGAAAUGGCAUUGGAUACUAUUCGGCUGGAGGGUUGGAGGGGGGACUGGAAUUCUCGGUGUAGCAGUGAAAUGCGUAGAUAUCGAGAGGAACACCAGUGGCGAAGGCGAGUCCCUGGACAACUCCUGACACUAAGGCACGAAAGCUAGGGGAGCAAACAGG
This 253-nucleotide ribosomal RNA is filed under the name uncultured bacterium. RNAcentral's name for it is "partial 16S ribosomal RNA". It matches the Rfam family "Bacterial small subunit ribosomal RNA", at positions 524 to 776 of the family's 1533-position model. The record is from RNAcentral.